CGAGCGAGAAGACGUAGCAAUACGUUUGUAAAGCGGCGAACGGGUGAGGAAUACAUGGGUAACCUACCCUCGAGUGGGGAAUAACUAGCCGAAAGGUUAGCUAAUACCGCAUACGGCUCCUGGUCUGCGGAUCGGGAGAGAAAGCGAUACCGUGGGUAUCGCGCUCUUGGAUGGGCUCAUGUCCUAUCAGCUUGUUGGUGAGGUAACGGCUCACCAAGGCUUCGACGGGUAGCUGGUCUGAGAGGACGAUCAGCCACACUGACACUGCGACACGGGCCAGACUCCUACGGGAGGCAGCAGUAAAGAAUAUUGCGCAAUGGGCGACAGCCUGACGCAGCGACGCCGCGUGGGGGAUGAAGGUCUUCGGAUUGUAAACCCCUUUCGGCAGGGAAGAUGGAACGGGUAACCGUUCGGACGGUACCUGCAGAAGCAGCCACGGCUAACUUCGUGCCAGCAGCCGCGGUAAUACGAAGGUGGCAAGCGUUGUUCGGAUUUACUGGGCGUACAGGGAGCGUAGGCGGUUGGGUAAGCCCUCCGUGAAAUCUCCGGGCCUAACCCGGAAAGUGCGGAGGGGACUGCUCGGCUAGAGGAUGGGAGAGGAGCGCGGAAUUCCCGGUGUAGCGGUGAAAUGCGUAGAGAUCGGGAGGAAGGCCGGUGGCGAAGGCGGCGCUCUG
This 674-nucleotide ribosomal RNA is filed under the name uncultured bacterium. RNAcentral's name for it is "bacterial SSU rRNA". It matches the Rfam family "Bacterial small subunit ribosomal RNA", at positions 63 to 731 of the family's 1533-position model. The record is from RNAcentral.